AUUGUUCAUUUGGAGUUGCUUCUUCUUCUUCUUCUUCAUCGAUCUAGGAUGGGUUCCAGGCCGGCAGCCUGGGAUAGCAAGGAUGGACGUCGUUCUUAUUUUUUUUUCGUUUGUUUUCGUCCGUAGUCGGACCCUGCUCUUACUCUUGAUGAUUAUGUACUGUACUUAUGUGACUCUGAUGUAGCUUGUGGCGAGUGUAAGCCAACUCUUUAUAUAUCUCUUCUUUUCAGUACAUGUACUUGUAACGAUAUCCAUUCUUGCGACACGACGAGAUGCGCUUCUAUCUCUGACGAGGCCCUCGUGCCAAAUUGAGGAUAGGGUCGCAUCUUGGGCGUGACAGUUUUACCCCAAAAAACCGUAGUGUUUCCACCCAAAAUUGUGCCGC
Molecule: long non-coding RNA, 385 nt
Filed under: Hordeum vulgare
Lineage: Eukaryota; Viridiplantae; Streptophyta; Magnoliopsida; Poales; Poaceae
Description: long non-coding RNA (HVUL_LNC010926)
Source: RNAcentral